This 250-nucleotide ribosomal RNA is filed under the name uncultured bacterium. RNAcentral's name for it is "partial 16S ribosomal RNA". It matches the Rfam family "Bacterial small subunit ribosomal RNA", at positions 779 to 1027 of the family's 1533-position model. The record is from RNAcentral.
UAGAUACCCUGGUAGUCCACGCCCUAAACGAUGUCAACUAGCUGUUGGGGCCGUUAGGCCUUAGUAGCGCAGCUAACGCGUGAAGUUGACCGCCUGGGGAGUACGGUCGCAAGAUUAAAACUCAAAGGAAUUGACGGGGACCCGCACAAGCGGUGGAUGAUGUGGAUUAAUUCGAUGCAACGCGAAAAACCUUACCUACGCUUGACAUGUCUGGAAUCCUGAAGAGAUUUAGGAGUGCCCGCAAGGGAAC